AGAGUUUGAUCCUGGCUCAGAUUGAACGCUGGCGGCAGGCCUAACACAUGCAAGUCGAGCGGAAACGAGUUAUCUGAACCUUCGGGGGACGAUAACGGCGUCGAGCGGCGGACGGGUGAGUAAUGCCUAGGAAAUUGCCCUGAUGUGGGGGAUAACCAUUGGAAACGAUGGCUAAUACCGCAUAACACCUACGGGUCAAAGAGGGGGACCUUCGGGCCUCUCGCGUCAGGAUAUGCCUAGGUGGGAUUAGCUAGUUGGUGAGGUAAUGGCUCACCAAGGCGACGAUCCCUAGCUGGUCUGAGAGGAUGAUCAGCCACACUGGAACUGAGACACGGUCCAGACUCCUACGGGAGGCAGCAGUGGGGAAUAUUGCACAAUGGGCGCAAGCCUGAUGCAGCCAUGCCGCGUGUGUGAAGAAGGCCUUCGGGUUGUAAAGCACUUUCAGUCGUGAGGAAGGUGGUAGUGUUAAUAGCACUAUCAUUUGACGUUAGCGACAGAAGAAGCACCGGCUAACUCCGUGCCAGCAGCCGCGGUAAUACGGAGGGUGCGAGCGUUAAUCGGAAUUACUGGGCGUAAAGCGCAUGCAGGUGGUUUGUUAAGUCAGAUGUGAAAGCCCGGGGCUCAACCUCGGAAUAGCAUUUGAAACUGGCAGACUAGAGUACUGUAGAGGGGGGUAGAAUUUCAGGUGUAGCGGUGAAAUGCGUAGAGAUCUGAAGGAAUACCGGUGGCGAAGGCGGCCCCCUGGACAGAUACUGACACUCAGAUGCGAAAGCGUGGGGAGCAAACAGGA
RNAcentral lists this ribosomal RNA (790 nucleotides) under uncultured bacterium. Its description in RNAcentral is "bacterial SSU rRNA". It matches the Rfam family "Bacterial small subunit ribosomal RNA", at positions 8 to 777 of the family's 1533-position model. The record is from RNAcentral.